Molecule: ribosomal RNA, 301 nt
Filed under: uncultured bacterium
Lineage: Bacteria
Description: partial 16S ribosomal RNA
Rfam family: Bacterial small subunit ribosomal RNA
Source: RNAcentral
CAGUCGCCGCGGUAAUACAGAGGGUGCGAGCGUUAAUCGGAUUUACUGGGCGUAAAGCGUGCGUAGGCGGCUUCUUAAGUCGGAUGUGAAAUCCCUGAGCUUAACUUGGGAAUUGCAUUCGAUACUGGUUAGCUAGAGUGUGGGAGAGGAUGGUAGAAUUCCAGGUGUAGCGGUGAAAUGCGUAGAGAUCUGGAGGAAUACCGAUGGCGAAGGCAGCCAUCUGGCCUAACACUGACGCUGAGGUAAGAAAGCAUGGGGAGCAAACAGGAUUAGAUACCCCUGUAGUCCCUGUCUCUUAUAC